Molecule: long non-coding RNA, 1076 nt
Filed under: Selaginella moellendorffii
Lineage: Eukaryota; Viridiplantae; Streptophyta; Lycopodiopsida; Selaginellales; Selaginellaceae
Description: long non-coding RNA (SMOE_LNC002081)
Source: RNAcentral
UUUCCUCAAGGCACAGCGAUAUGGGAGAAUAGUGAGCAAUUGUUGUGGGAAGGGCAUGGAGAUCAGGAUCGAGGCUGAAAUCUCCAGAGAAGUCUAGAGCCAGUGUUUGUCAAGUCUUUAGCCUUUUGGAUCCUGCGAUUGAACAUGUGAGGUUUUUGCAAGAGGGGCGUUUCUGCCAUAUGAUCAAGGAAGAGAUUAGCGAUCUGGAGAGCUCAGAGAGUUUCUAAACACUAGCUCCAGUACCAACAGAAAGGAACCCAUGAUCGAGGCCAUCACCGGAUCUGCGAGCCAAACGAGUCACUGAUGUGAAUAGAAAAGCUUGGAUGAAUCUUUUCUUUCUUUUGUGCUUCUUCCGAGCUGCUGCUUUCUAAAUGCAAUGAAUCAUGAGAUAGAAAUGGGUCUCUAAAACGCCCAAAUGAUUCUUGCACUUCGGGACGCGCUGCAAAGAGAAAAGAGCCCACCAAUCGGUUCCUCGCCGGAAGCGACUACAUUAUUCUGCUUCAUCAGUACCCCUAAAGGAGAAGAGGAAUCUCAAGAUCUAUUUCAAAGGGAAAGCAAAGACAAGGAGCCAGGAAAUCUAUGACGCUGUAGACUUGGCCGUUUGGAUUUGCUGCCACUGGGUUGGCCUUUGGGAGCAGCCAACCCAAGGGCAGCAUGCUGGGUUUGCGCAAACCCAGACGGCCAAGUCUACAACAGCAGCUAUCCCCACCGCUACCAGGACAAGCGGUGGGAUAAAGUAGAAGAUCCUGCUUAUCACCCUUCCAACUCCCCCACUAGCGCUGCCACCUGACCCAGUAGAGCUGGUUCGAUCAGUUUCAGUCCGUCCUCUUCGCAGCCGUAACCACAACGUUGUGGUUACGACUGCGAAGAGGAGAUGCUUGUGGACUGAAACUGAUGGGUCAAAAGCUUGCCCGAGUGGCAGUGGUGCUUAAAGCACUCACAUCGAUCUGUGCACGAGAGAAACAAUGGCCACACAAUCAAUCCCAAAAGGAGAGCUAGAAUGAGCACUACGUAGUGACUUACCUGAAAUGGUUGCGAGCACUACUCGCAAGAGGGAGUGAGAGCCACUAGAUAGA